CGAGGAAUAUUGCACAAUGGACGCAAGUCUGAUGCAGUAACGCCGCGUGGGGGAAGAAGACCUUCGGGUUGUAAACCUCUUUUAUAUAGGACGAGUGAGGACGGUACUAUAGGAAUAAGUCUCGGCUAACUACGUGCCAGCAGCCGCGGUAAGACGUAGGAGGCGAGCGUUAUCCGGAUUCACUGGGCGUAAAGCGCAUGUAGGCGGUUUGUUAAGUCCGGUGUUAAAGCCCCUGGCUCAACUGGGGGAGGUCAUUGGAGACUAACAGACUUGAGGGCAACAGAGGCACGUGGAACUCCCGGUGUAGCGGUGGAAUGCGUAGAGAUCGGGAAGAACACCAGUGGCGAAGGCGACGUGCUGGGUUGCAACUGACGCUGAGAUGCGAAAGUGUGGGGAGCAAACGGG
RNAcentral lists this ribosomal RNA (405 nucleotides) under uncultured bacterium. RNAcentral describes it as "bacterial SSU rRNA". It matches the Rfam family "Bacterial small subunit ribosomal RNA", at positions 355 to 776 of the family's 1533-position model. The record is from RNAcentral.